AGAUCUUGAAUUUUUUUUUCAUUGUUGUUGUGCUUAUACUUGAAUGACAUUUCCAAUUAUGAAGUGUUGACUUGCCAAUUUCACCAGUUCUUGUGCUAUGCAAGAGAAUUUUACCUAGAGCUGUGUAAAAUAGAUCUUAACAAGCAAUGUGGAGAAGCAUCAGUUUUAUGCUCAGUUUGUACUCUGUGCUAUUUCAUAUUCCAAGAAAAUUUACCUGCUCUAAUUUGAGUUUCUUAUCAAAAAUAAUUUUCUACUCUCGUCAAUCCUUUCCUUGAGGCUGGAGCAAGAAAAUAUAGAAGUUUAUCUUUCCCAAUUA
RNAcentral lists this long non-coding RNA (316 nucleotides) under Capsicum annuum. RNAcentral describes it as "long non-coding RNA (CANN_LNC011585)". The record is from RNAcentral. Lineage: Eukaryota; Viridiplantae; Streptophyta; Magnoliopsida; Solanales; Solanaceae.